Molecule: long non-coding RNA, 3343 nt
Organism: Equus caballus (horse)
Lineage: Eukaryota; Metazoa; Chordata; Mammalia; Perissodactyla; Equidae
Source: Ensembl
AGAUGGGUCAGUGGGAGGCCAUGCAGGGUGGUCCCCUCCAGAGAGGACACAAUGAGAACAUCCUCUCCCCAGGAGGUGCCCGGCAUCAGCUUCAUCUCUUGAGGAUCAAGAAUGACAACAUCCACUCACGUCAAGAUAAUCCACACACAGACCGGUGGGACAAUCGGUUUCUUCAUCUCCUCAGUAAAUCCUUUGUAAGGGCUACGAUGUGCCCAACACAACAUCAACACGCAGCCCGCCUUCGGGGAGCCCCAGCCAGGGGCGCUGGGCAGACAGAACACCCCUGGCAUGCGGAGCCUCAUGGAGCCAAUCUUGUUUUUGCUGCCCACCACCCUUUUCAAUUGGAGAGAACUCCGGCAGUGACGAUGGCUUUGCUGGAACCCCCGCAGCAGACAGCCCUGAGAUCAAGCACCACCCUGAGACAUGCAAUUUGGAUGGAGCAGAAAGAGAAUAGACAAGGCCCAGGGGAUUUAAAUGCUACGAGGGAGGGGAAAUGACAAUAAACAAGGAAGCAGACACGUCAACAAGAGAGCAUCAUAAAAGAGGGGACUGUCCUUUUACUCGGAGGCCCCACAGUCACAUCAGGAGGCUGGAGUCUGGCUUUUGUGCUCAGAAGAGAACUUACCAGCUCGAUAACUUUGCAGUCUACAGGGCAUGGCGACCGGUCGCACCAGUUCUGGAGACGGAGAGUCCAGGGUCGAGGUGCUGCCGACUCGGUUCCUGGGGAGAGCCGCUCCUGGCUUGCAGAUGGCCUCCUUCUUGCUGCGUCCUCGCCUGGCAGAGAGAGCAUCUUCCUCAAGUCUUGUCUUAUCUGGGCACCGAUCCCCUCAUGGGGGCUCCACCUUCACCACCUAACCACCUCCCAGAGGUCCCACCUCCCAACAUGCUCGCAGUGGAGAUUCGACUUCAACUUACGAAUCCAGGAGACACAGGGUUCGGCCCGCUGCACCAGGAUUAACCCGCCGCCCUGGCACUCUUCUUGUCCCCGCUGACUGCUGCGCUGCAGGGUCCUCAGACUCGGCGGGCACAAGAAUCCCCAGGCUGUGAGCCUCCCAGGAAGGUAUGCUGCUGGGCCUGCCCCCCAAUUCAGAUUCAGGAGGACUCAGGGACCUGGAAAUCUGCAUGCCUGACAAGCCCUCCACAUCACUCUAACGAAGUGGUCCAUGCAGCACACUUUGAAAAACGGCGUCUAGGGUGUUGGGGAUGCUCCACUUCUGUGUCAUGAGCUGUCAUUUCCUUGAACUCAGAAGCAUUUUGCAACAUACGAAGAGCCAUGUAAAUAAAAACAACUUAGUGUCAGCCAUGUGCCAGACACAGUCAUCGUUCAUCUCAUUUGUUACCACAGCAACCCAAGGAGGUCGUGCCGGCCUCCGCUUGCUAGGCUGCUAGGCUGAGGCUCCAGAAGUUACAGAUCCUGCCCCAGAUCACGCAACACGCAAAUACCCAGGUGUCGCCCACCGAGGUGCUCGGACCCACGACGCCUCAGGCCUCUCCGUUGGUUCACGACGCCCUGCGGGUCCAGAACCAAGGUCAACCCAGGGCAGGCAAUCAGGAAUGAGACUUCGCAGUUUCAUCUGGACUCAGGCAAGUACUAAAUGGCGAGCAGACGGUGGACCACGGACAGGGACUGUGCUGGCCUUGGGCAGGUAGCAACUCUCUGCCUCAGCAGCCUCCUCUAUGAGGCAGAAAUCGAAUGCCGACUCCACAGGGCUGCUCGAGGAUUGCAACACGUGUCCAGAGCCCAGGACACAGGAAGCGCUCCGCGAGCAUAGUCAUUGGGACCGUGGCAGAUGCGGCGACUGUUGUGGGAGGUUGAGAUGUCUUCGCUUAACAAGGUGGCUUCACUGAUACAGAUGUGGGCUUCCUUUAAGCUUUUAAACUAGUUAAUUGGCUGUUGAAAACAUUUUAAAGAUUAAGUAGUAAAAAAAAUUCAUUUCUAGUUAAUUAGCAACUCACUCUAUUAUUAGUUUUCAACCCGUAAUUUUUACAGCCCACGCUGCUCUCUUCUGCUCCGUCCUAUGACUCGUCACCAUCUCACCCAGGGUUGCUCUGUUUCCUUGUGACACCUCGUUGGCAAUGUUGUUACUUAAGUGUGCGAAGCAUUAUGGGAUACGUUUGGAACGAAAGUCACUUUGCGAACAGAAAUGAAGCUGACAUACGUUGCAUUCAGACCUCUAGUGGGGACCACAGGGGGGACAAGGGAGAAGAGCUCAUGGAUGCCCUUGGUUGUGGGCUGAGAAAAACCGCCUCUCUCCCUGCCUGGUUGACCAAGAGGAUGUUACUGAGAGAAUCUCCCUGGGGAGGGAAAGAGUCCUUCCUUGCUUAUGAUGCAAACUGAAAAUGAAAAGAUAACACGAGAGCAGAGUUCCUCGGCUUCUCCGUUCUGCUCCUCUCAGGGACCACGAAAGAGACACACAGACUCUUUGCAAGUUCUAUUUCCACAUCUGUAAAAAUAAGAAUUUGUUGGUGGUGGAGGAAGUGAGAGGAAUGGGGUCAGUCCCUGCUGUCCAGAUAGAUUUGGGGCUGGGGCAUACCAGCUGACGGAUUUGAAAAACAAACCAAGAGCGGAGAUGCUUUUAAUCAAAGAGACAAACUCAAGAGUAGAACUACAAUUGACCGCAAACCUGCUGGGAGCCACUCUUUGGCAAGUGGUGGGGGAAGGGCAGCUGGGCGUGUUUGGGGACCCUGGUUACAGGAUUAAAGGGUUUUGCUCACUUCUCUCCACUGGGAUGUCCAGGGCAGCUGCCAGCCCAUAUGGUCCCCUUGUGCAAGUUAGGAAACACGUUCCCUCAGAGAGGGCUGCUCCACACCUGGCGGUUGAAAUAGGGGCAGCCGGGCUGCAUUUAUACCCUAUGCUGAGCCCAGCGGAUGCAGAGAGAGAGAGAGAAGCCAUGUGUGGUAUGCAGGGGGAAGUGCCCUGUCCCCCUUCAAGGAAGGACCGCCCAGCUAUGUGAGCAUCCUCCACGAGGUCAUGCCUUCCCGGGGCAGCUGGCAUCGGUGACUGAGCCACGCUGGGGCACUAAAAUCUGGCUCCUCGGGCUCAAGGCAGGAUGCUCUGUGGGGCGCACCUGCUGCAGCCCCCGCCAGCGCCUGCGUGGACUUCUCCCUCUGCCCAGCCCUGCUUCCCCCAUCUUUGACUUCCAUCGACAGGUGUUGGUCCCUAAUAAACAUGUCCGACCACAAAUUCCAUGUCAGCACCUGCUUCUUAAGAACCCAACCUGCAUCUCCACAUCCUGCCCUUUCAGUCCAGUUGGGGAGACAGACAUCAGCAAAAGAAUCUGGAACAUAUAUGAAAAAUUGCAGCUAAAAUCUCUGGAAAAGGGGAGCUGCCUGAUGGUGGAAG